AGUAACAAUAAAACAAUAAAUGUACUGGCACGAAAGAAAGUGAGCUAAACAUGUAUGUUGUAUAUUACAUACGUCGCAUAGUAUGUAUAAAAUACACGUUUAGGGGUGAUAGGCUUUUCAAACGUUCUUAUAACUUGUUCCAUAUGAAAAGUAUUAAGUACCGGAAAAAAUUUAAAAAGUUAAGCUUUUAAAUAAUUAUAAAAAAUAUUAUUCUCUUGUAAUGUAGUGUAAAAGCUGCUUACAUGAUAGUUUAACAUUAAACAUAAUAACUUAUAUUAUAUAAUAUGGCAAUAAAAAUUUUGUUACUAUUUGAUAAUGUUAUUAUUAGUAAUAUUAACAUAUAUACUAAAGGAACUCGGCAAAAUAGCCACUCAACUGUUUAUCAAAAACAUAGCUAUAUGAAUUAAUAUAUAGUUAUUUCUGCUCAAUGAUGUUUAAAUAGCCGCAGUACUCUGACUGUGCAAAGGUAGCAUAAUCAGUUGGCUUUUAAUUGGAGUCUGGCAUGAAAGAAAAUAUGGGUAGCAACUAUCUUAGUGUAUUUAUUUGAAUUUAUUAAACAAGUGCAAAUACUUGUGGUUUAACAAUAGACGAGAAGACCCUAGAAACUUGAAUUAGUUUUUGUUGGGGCGACAGGAUUACAUUUAACUAAUCUUAUAUACAUGACGCAAUGUGGAAAGUAUAAGUUACUCUAGGGAUAACAGCAUAAUUUUAUUAGUUUGUGACCUCGAUGUUGGACUAGGUACUUUACCCUUAAGACAGGGGUAUAUUAUGCUCUGUUCGAGCAGCAGCUACCUACAU
Molecule: ribosomal RNA, 798 nt
Filed under: Helix secernenda
Lineage: Eukaryota; Metazoa; Mollusca; Gastropoda; Stylommatophora; Helicidae
Description: partial 16S ribosomal RNA
Source: RNAcentral